Triticum dicoccoides is the source of this 297-nucleotide long non-coding RNA. RefSeq lists it as uncharacterized. The transcript is spliced from 3 exons. The record is from RefSeq and is a predicted model, not a curated record. NCBI's taxonomy places the organism in Eukaryota, Viridiplantae, Streptophyta, Magnoliopsida, Poales, Poaceae.
GGUCAGGUUAACAGAGUCAGUGGCUGUAAAGGAUUUUGGUGAUGAUUCUGGUGAACGACUAAAUGCCCAGUCUAUCUCUAUCGAUUGCAGAAUUGGUAAACCUCUCAUCUGUGGAGUGAUAUUGAUUUGUCGAUAGCUAUCAAAAGGCCAGGAACCAUCUUGCGCUCAACCAGAUUCAUGUUCUUUGAUUCCCUUUUCCAUCAAGGUCACCGUGCAGCCGCCCGAUUUCAGCGAUUGCAACCAUGGAUUUCGCGUCCCUAUUUCGCCCGCCUCCCCCGCGCACGGGAUUGACUCUGC